Helicoverpa armigera (cotton bollworm) is the source of this 555-nucleotide long non-coding RNA. RefSeq lists it as uncharacterized. The record is from RefSeq and is a predicted model, not a curated record. Lineage: Eukaryota; Metazoa; Arthropoda; Insecta; Lepidoptera; Noctuidae. The transcript is spliced from 2 exons.
GUAAGAUGAAAAACGGGGAAAGAUAAAAAGAAAUUAAUAAGGCCGAAUACCAGGGAGUUAUUUUAAUGCUGGUAAUAUCGUUGUGAACCAUGUCGUAGGCUACAUUUACUUUGAAUAUCUUGUCGGGUAGUAUAGAAUUCAGAGUGAUGACAGACGAAUUUGCAUACUUCUAGGAUGUAUAAGCAAGAGAGAUGAAGAGGUUUCCGCGUGAUGAUGGAGCAGUAGCAGCGACACUCACGGUAGCGGCAGCAGGCGACGUCGUGUCCGUCCAUGCGGGCGGGAGGCGCAGCACUGCGGCUGUGAAUGACUCACACACUGUUUGGCGAACGACGCGACGCAUGCACACUAAUUUUCGCACCCCUCUCGAUAUUUAUAUGGGUUUGUUGUGAAUGAGAUCAUAGUGACACAGGUUUUAUGUAUUUAUAAUACGGGCUUCACAAUUAUGUACGAAUAUCUUGAAGUAGGUAACUUGUUUGUAAAUGUAUAUUUUUUAACAAAAUAAAUGUGCACGCGUGCACUCCUCGGUGGCACACAAUGACUACUUAAUAUACAACA